UGCGCAGGCGGCUCUUUAAGACAGGUGUGAAAUCCCCGGGCUUAACCUGGGAAUUGCGCUUGUGACUGGAGAGCUUGAGUGCGGCAGAGGGGGAUGGAAUUCCUGGUGUAGCAGUGAAAUGCGUAGAUAUCAGGAGGAACACCGAUGGCGAAGGCAGUCCCCUGGGUCGACACUGACGCUCAGGCACGAAAGCGUGGGGAGCAAACA
RNAcentral lists this ribosomal RNA (207 nucleotides) under uncultured bacterium. Its description in RNAcentral is "partial 16S ribosomal RNA". It matches the Rfam family "Bacterial small subunit ribosomal RNA", at positions 568 to 774 of the family's 1533-position model. The record is from RNAcentral.